RNAcentral lists this ribosomal RNA (253 nucleotides) under uncultured bacterium. Its description in RNAcentral is "partial 16S ribosomal RNA". It matches the Rfam family "Bacterial small subunit ribosomal RNA", at positions 524 to 776 of the family's 1533-position model. The record is from RNAcentral.
UACGUAGGGUGCAAGCGUUGUCCGGAAUUAUUGGGCGUAAAGAGCUCGUAGGCGGUUUGUCGCGUCUGCUGUGAAAACGCGAGGCUCAACCUCGCGCCUGCAGUGGGUACGGGCAGACUAGAGUGUGGUAGGGGAGAUUGGAAUUCCUGGUGUAGCGGUGGAAUGCGCAGAUAUCAGGAGGAACACCGAUGGCGAAGGCGGAUCUCUGGGCCAUUACUGACGCUGAGGAGCGAAAGCGUGGGGAGCGAACAGG